GCUUCGAGGAAGAAGCAGCCAUGGCCAUGGAGGCCUCCUCCUCGGCGCUACGGUCGCUGCUGCACCGCAUGGCCCAACGAUGCGCCGGCUACCUGGGCCUCGCGGCGCCCCUAGCAUCCGACUACUCCCAGUCCCUUGGCGCUGGCGGCGAUCACCUGAAACCCACCGGCGCUGCAGAUGGCGUGGUGGUGCGGCCGGAGGAGGAGUUCACGGUCGUCCAGGUGCAGUCGAGAUCGAUGGCGUUUCAGAGCAACCGCAAAAUAGAUCAAGGAGUCGGCGGACGUGGUGGGAUCAAAUAUUGA
This 302-nucleotide ribosomal RNA is filed under the name Triticum aestivum (bread wheat). RNAcentral describes it as "partial small subunit ribosomal RNA". Lineage: Eukaryota; Viridiplantae; Streptophyta; Magnoliopsida; Poales; Poaceae. The record is from RNAcentral.